CCCGCUGAAGUUAAGCAUAUUACUAGAGCGCAUGAGAAGAUAACUACAGUGAUUCCCCCAGUAACGGCGAGUGAAGAGGGAAGAGCCCAAGAUUGAAUCCGCAGUGCGAGCGAACGCGAGAGCUGUGGAAUUGUAUGUGCCAGGGUGAGAGGGACAAGGCGUUGAGGAGUGUGGUUGAGUGAUCUGAAAAGGUCUCACCACAGAGGGACUAUGGUCCCAUGGCCGUCACACGCCCUCAGCGUCAACAACGUUCCCCCAUUCGCAAGAGUCAGCUGCAGUUUGAGAAUGCUGCACUAAAUCGCUGGUGUGCUUCAGCGAAGGGUAAAUAUUGCUCUGAUACCGAUAGCGAACAAGUAGUGUGAUCUAAAGAUGAAAAGAAUUUUGAAAAGAGAGUCAAAAGGACUUGAAAUCGUUGGGCGUCACAGGGUAUGGGACUCCCUGUGCGUCGUGCGCUACCUCUUUGGGGUGUUGCCUGAUAAGACCAGUUGGUGUUGUUAUUCCCUCCUGGUGGCGUAGGCCGAGCUCUGCCGAUUCGUUCGUUCGCAGAGUCGUCUGUGAUUCGCUCCGGUGAGUGGACUGACUGUUCAUGAAUAGGGGUAGGCUUUGCUUCGCCCGCAUUGGUGUGUGUCGGUCGCGCGGCGAGCAUUCACCUCUUCGCCGGUGUUUCUCUCGCGUCGCCGCGCGUCCUCUCUGACCGGUGAGCGCGGUCACCUUGAUACUUAUCAUCGAAUGAUCUCAUACCACCCGUCGUGAAACACGG
RNAcentral lists this ribosomal RNA (760 nucleotides) under uncultured fungus. RNAcentral describes it as "eukaryotic LSU rRNA". It matches the Rfam family "Eukaryotic large subunit ribosomal RNA", at positions 24 to 664 of the family's 3401-position model. The record is from RNAcentral. Lineage: Eukaryota; Fungi.